CACUGCCUACGAGGGGCAGCAGUGAGGAAUAUUGGUCAAUGGCCGGAAGGCUGAACCAGCCAAGCCGCGUGAAGGACGAAGGUGCCAAGCAUUGUAAACUUCUUUUGUCAAGGGACGAAAUCAGGCUCGAGAGCCUGACCGAGGGUACUUGAAGAAUAAGCCACGGCUAACUACGUGCCAGCAGCCGCGGUAAUACGUAGGUGGCAAGCGUUAUCCGGAUUUAUUGGGUGUAAAGGGCGUGUAGGCGGGAAUGCAAGUCAGAUGUGAAAACUAUGGG
RNAcentral lists this ribosomal RNA (277 nucleotides) under uncultured bacterium. RNAcentral describes it as "partial 16S ribosomal RNA". It matches the Rfam family "Bacterial small subunit ribosomal RNA", at positions 334 to 607 of the family's 1533-position model. The record is from RNAcentral.